GUGGGUAUAGCUCAGUGGUAGAGCACAUGCUUGGCAUGCACGAUGUCCUGGAUUCAACCCCCAGUACCUCCA
Molecule: transfer RNA, 72 nt
Filed under: Camelus bactrianus (Bactrian camel)
Lineage: Eukaryota; Metazoa; Chordata; Mammalia; Artiodactyla; Camelidae
Also listed under: 1 other name
Rfam family: tRNA
About the family: Transfer RNA (tRNA) molecules are approximately 80 nucleotides in length. Their secondary structure includes four short double-helical elements and three loops (D, anti-codon, and T loops).
Source: Rfam by way of RNAcentral